AGGGGUAUAGCCAAGUGGUAAGGCAACGGGUUUUGAUCCCGUCACGCCCUGGUUCGAGCCCAGGUACCCCUGCCA
This 75-nucleotide transfer RNA is filed under the name Anaerobiospirillum succiniciproducens. RNAcentral's name for it is "tRNA-Gln". It matches the Rfam family "tRNA". From Rfam's summary of the family: Transfer RNA (tRNA) molecules are approximately 80 nucleotides in length. Their secondary structure includes four short double-helical elements and three loops (D, anti-codon, and T loops). RNAcentral also lists the same sequence under 4 other names. Lineage: Bacteria; Pseudomonadati; Pseudomonadota; Gammaproteobacteria; Aeromonadales; Succinivibrionaceae. The record is from RNAcentral.